Molecule: transfer RNA, 73 nt
Filed under: Actinia tenebrosa (Australian red waratah sea anemone)
Lineage: Eukaryota; Metazoa; Cnidaria; Anthozoa; Actiniaria; Actiniidae
Description: tRNA-Lys
Rfam family: tRNA
About the family: Transfer RNA (tRNA) molecules are approximately 80 nucleotides in length.
Source: Rfam by way of RNAcentral
GCCUGGUUAGCUCAGGCGUUAGAGCAUCAGACUUUUAAUCUGAGGGUCAAGGGUUCGAGUCCCUUAUCGGGCG